RNAcentral lists this ribosomal RNA (499 nucleotides) under uncultured bacterium. RNAcentral describes it as "partial 16S ribosomal RNA". It matches the Rfam family "Bacterial small subunit ribosomal RNA", at positions 28 to 507 of the family's 1533-position model. The record is from RNAcentral.
GACGAACGCUGGCGGCGUGCUUAACACAUGCAAGUCGAACGGGCCCGCCCCUGUUUUUGGGGGUGGGUUGAGUGGCGAACGGGUGAGUAUCACGUGAGUAACCUGCCCCCUGCUCCUGGAUAACUGCUUGAAAGGGCGGCUAAUACGGGGUGUGCCGGCUGGUCCGCAUGGGCCUGGUCGGGAUAGUUUCAUCUUCGGGUGUUUCGGUGGGGGAUGGGCUCGCGGCCUAUCAGCUUGUUGGUGGGGUGAUGGCCCACCAAGGCGGUGACGGGUAGCCGGCCUGAGAGGGUGGGCGGCCACACUGGGACUGAGACACGGCCCAGACUCCUGCGGGAGGCAGCAGUGGGGGGGAUGGCACAAUGGGCGGAAGCCUGAUGCAGCGACGUCGCGUGAGGGAUGGAGGCCUUCGGGUUGUGAACCUCUUUCUCCGGUGGUGAAGGCCCUGUCCGUUGCGGCGGGGUUGACGGUAGCCGGGGAUGAAGCGCCGGCUAACUACGUG